UAAUGCAUCGAUAAUUGUCAA
Caenorhabditis elegans is the source of this 21-nucleotide non-coding RNA. Lineage: Eukaryota; Metazoa; Nematoda; Chromadorea; Rhabditida; Rhabditidae. The record is from Ensembl.